ACCAUAGAGUGGUCACGGUUGCCAGUGUUCAUCUUGUCCCAAUGUAAAGGUUUUAGCCUUGCCGGUGGUGGGAGCUGUCCUUUUUUUGGCGGAGCCCCAGGAACUCCCAUUUGUGGUCUCGGAGGUGGCGGUCUUGCUCCUAGUGGAGGUGGAGGAGGUGCCUUUCCCCCCGGCGGCGGAGGUGGAGGAGGCGCCUUUCCCCCCGAAGGUGGCGGAGGAGGUGGGCGCUUUCCUCCAGGCGGAGGUGGAGGUGGCGGUGCUGUUGACCCUGAUUUUGCCGGAAUUGGUGGUGGAGGAGCAGCUGGUCUUGUAGGCGGCUGCGGUGCCGAUGAAGGAUGAGGAGGUUUUCCAGCCACGGCAGCUGAUGUCUGCACGACCGUAGUAGAAACUGGGCUAAAAGUAGCAGCAGCAGCAGAAGAAGAAGAAGAAGAUGGAGGUUUCACAUCCACCAUAUUGGUAGCAAAAGGUGUCGAUGUUGGCCGUGGCGGUAAUGGAGCUAACGUCGCAGGAACCGGAAUAGAAACCGUCGUUUGAUGGCCAUAACUACCUUGGAAUUCAUCCGAUCUAAUCGAACCUACAGGCAAAAGCGGCGUUUUCGAGUUCCGUCGAGCCCUUCGUCGCAUCUCUUUCUCAUCAGGAUCAUAAUUGGGGGCGCCGUACUCGCCUUCGGGAUAAGUGACGGGAUUAAUCUUUCCUUUGCAAUUCGUGCAUAAACUAACAUCUCCGUCCACCAGAUUCUUCUUCCAGUAGUACACAUCGAGACCAUUCUCAUCCACGAUUCCAUUUCCAGCACUGCUCACUCCGUCAAUAUCACCAGCGUACGGAUUGGUAGUGUUAUACUUUGUUUUCGAAAUCGCAGAUAGCAAUUUUUUACGGCGCUUUUUGACGUCGUACUGGUAGAACAAGAAGAACAAAAGAGAAGAAGCCGUCAAAGUGACGAAGAAGGUAACAAGCGCGGAGUUUCUAACGGAAACACCGUUCCCACCGGAGCUGAUCGGAGAAGAAGGCGCGGGCGGUGAAUUGGGAGAUGGAGAAGCAGGAGGGGUAUUGUUUGUGGCUGGGAUGGUGUUAGAUGGCAAUAAAGGGGUCUGUACGUUGCUUGCCGGAGGAUUUGUGUUGGUCUGUAACAGAUUCCUACCGGCAGAAUAAGAUACCGCCGCCGCCGAAUUCGAUGACGUUAGAAGAAAAACCAGUAUCGUUAACAGAAUUCGAUAACGAUCCAUUUUGGGGAUUUUGAAAUUGCAGAGAUGAAUGGAAUCGCUUUUUCUUCUUCUUCUUCUUCUUUCCAAUGGAAUAGUAAGACUUUUGGGGGUUGAUGAAGAGUUUCCCAGUGGUUAAUGGCGGCGCAACCGUCAUCUUAAUGAAAUGACGAAAUUAGAGUUGUCUUAGACGAGAACUAGCUGUCUACCUGUCAGUGGCGGUGCAGCUGGAAAAGGGUAUAAUCGGUAUCGUGGGUUGGGAUUUUUCCUACUUC
RNAcentral lists this long non-coding RNA (1474 nucleotides) under Zostera marina. RNAcentral's name for it is "long non-coding RNA (ZMAR_LNC001669)". Lineage: Eukaryota; Viridiplantae; Streptophyta; Magnoliopsida; Alismatales; Zosteraceae. The record is from RNAcentral.